GGGGCAUAGCUCAGCUGGUUAGAGCGCUCGCUUCACAUGCGAGAGGUCGGGGGUUCAAGUCCCUCUGCCCC
This 71-nucleotide transfer RNA is filed under the name bovine gut metagenome. It matches the Rfam family "tRNA". From Rfam's summary of the family: Transfer RNA (tRNA) molecules are approximately 80 nucleotides in length. Their secondary structure includes four short double-helical elements and three loops (D, anti-codon, and T loops). Further hydrogen bonds mediate the characteristic L-shaped molecular structure. tRNAs have two regions of fundamental functional importance: the anti-codon, which is responsible for specific mRNA codon recognition, and the 3' end, to which the tRNAs corresponding amino acid is attached (by aminoacyl-tRNA synthetases). tRNAs cope with the degeneracy of the genetic code in two manners: having more than one tRNA (with a specific anti-codon) for a particular amino acid; and 'wobble' base-pairing, i.e. permitting non-standard base-pairing at the 3rd anti-codon position. The record is from RNAcentral.